UUGAGCCGGAUGAAGGGAAACUUUCAAGUCCGGUUCUUAGGGGGGGCGGGAGCCGAGAGGCUCCCCUCCUACCCGGU
Non-coding RNA from Geobacter sp. M18, 77 nucleotides. Lineage: Bacteria; Pseudomonadati; Thermodesulfobacteriota; Desulfuromonadia; Geobacterales; Geobacteraceae. The record is from Rfam.